This 301-nucleotide ribosomal RNA is filed under the name uncultured bacterium. RNAcentral describes it as "partial 16S ribosomal RNA". It matches the Rfam family "Bacterial small subunit ribosomal RNA", at positions 509 to 807 of the family's 1533-position model. The record is from RNAcentral.
CAGCAGCCGCGGUAAUACGUAGGUGGCAAGCGUUGUCCGGAAUUAUUGGGCGUAAAGGGCUCGCAGGCGGUUUCUUAAGUCUGAUGUGAAAGCCCCCGGCUCAACCGGGGAGGGUCAUUGGAAACUGGGAAACUUGAGUGCAGAAGAGGAGAGUGGAAUUCCACGUGUAGCGGUGAAAUGCGUAGAGAUGUGGAGGAACACCAGUGGCGAAGGCGACUCUCUGGUCUGUAACUGACGCUGAGGGGCGAAAGCGUGGGGAGCGAACAGGAUUAGAUACCCGCGUAGUCCCUGUCUCUUAUAC